Long non-coding RNA from Sander lucioperca (pikeperch), 515 nucleotides. RefSeq lists it as uncharacterized. The record is from RefSeq and is a predicted model, not a curated record. NCBI's taxonomy places the organism in Eukaryota, Metazoa, Chordata, Actinopteri, Perciformes, Percidae. The transcript is spliced from 2 exons.
GACAAGGGUCCUCUCAUUAAAGAGAUCAACGAGGCAAUGGCCAGGCUUUCCAUAAGUGGACAGACUGAGCUAACAUCGAGGUCCUCCUAGCUAUUAAUGGGUAUUAAUGGGGAGUCCACCGAAAUCAAGAAGGCCAAAGGUACCGGUCGCUCCAGGGCCAUUGAAGGGGAAUCUGUCCAGCAGAGUUUGCCACGGAGGAUUCCACCUGAGGCCCAAGACAAAACCAAUACCCGUGUGAGGACUCCUAGUUCAACCAAAUGCUUUAAGAGCACUACUGGAGAGUCCCGCAGAGUUAAGCAAAACCCUGAGAGAAGGCUUGGAGGCCAAUCCAAAACCUUCCUAUAAAAGGAGAUGGGAGGAUCUUCGUAUCAGAAGGACAGAGAGCCUCGGUUCAGAGAGGAAGAUGAGAAGAGUGGACACAAUGGCAAUAAAGAAGUCUUCCUGGGUGAGUAUUUGUUGCGCCAGAGCUUUUCAAGGAAAAUAUGUGAGUGGUUUUCAUUCCAGGGCCAUUAAAG